Oryctolagus cuniculus (rabbit) is the source of this 2031-nucleotide long non-coding RNA. The record is from Ensembl. NCBI's taxonomy places the organism in Eukaryota, Metazoa, Chordata, Mammalia, Lagomorpha, Leporidae.
ACUUCCUACAGGUCCAGGUUUCUGAAUCCUACCCCAAUACUACCUGGAGGGCUGUUGUGUUACUAAGUGUGCAGAAUCGAUAAGAAAAUUCAUGUAAAUGCUUGCACAGUACCUGGCCAGAACUGUUAAAUCCCCUAAAAGCACAGUUGUAAUUUUUGCUGUUGCUGCUCUCUGAUCUUAUUUCUGAAGUCUGAAGUGCUAUAAUGAACGUGGUAAAAAGGAAAGCGUGCUGUGUCCUUUGGUAGUCUCAGAUAAAAAAGGUGGGGAGAGCAAGGAAGUGGAAACUGAGCUUCUCUAGGUCUCCCUCCUAAGCUAAAGCCAGAGACAAUAGUUGGGUCAGGUGUGAAGCCUUUGAGGGCCCAGCACAAGUGGGCGUGGUAUUCCUUCCUCAAUUCCUGAGUUAUAUGCCUUGUUCUGGUUAUAGCGACCAGAAUCCUUGAUGAGAGCUCAUCUCGGCUGGCCUGACUUCCUCUUGUCUCACAUUUUAUGCUGCCUCUUGCCACAUGGCAUUUGCACAUGCCAUGCCUUCUGCAUGGAGUAAUCUCACUCCCUGCAUGUAUACAUCUCAGUCAACCUUUACAAAGUCUGCCUUGAUCCCAGUCUAGUAGUUCUUCCUUCAUAGCUUUGCAGCACAGUGUGUUAGCAUGCAUUCCUCAUUGUGUUUAUUUGAUUAUGAAGGGACUCUCAUAGUUAACUCUAAGUUUCAUGUGAGAGAUCCAAACAAUUGUAUUUGUGUCUUUUCCUUUGUCUUAAGGACCAAUACAGGGCUUGACACAUAACACGGGCUUGAUGACUAUUGGUUAAGUAGCUAGGUAUAAAGACCAAUGGAUGAUAUCCACUGGAAUAAGGGACUGAACUCUUCAUUUUGUCCAAUCAUGACAGGUAAUACAAGAGAACUCAUCAAGUGCACAGAGAAGUGGAAGGAAAUUAAUUCCGGGACACCCGAGGAUACGAUCCCUGCUCCUCCUUCUGACCAUAAAUCAGCUGGCUGCCCUUUAGAGACCUUCUGUGAGAGGCAGCUGGAUGAUUGAACUUUCUCCUCCAGUAUCAUGAAGAUCCAAGGAGUUGUGAUUAGCAAGAACAGUUGUGCCUUGAAACGUACAUCACUUCCAAAUGGAAUUGGAAUGUUACAUGUUUCAUUUAUUUUGUAGUAAAAUAAUAUUUUUUUAACAAGAAGCAGUUGCCAUUCAGCUCAUUCUAGGUCUUUAUUUAUAUUUUCCUUGAGCAGAAAGCUUUUCUGUUGUAUUUUGAUUACUGUUCUUUGAUGGUGUGCCCAAGACCACAAGAUGAAAUUAGAAACUUUUUUAAAAGCCUCAUUUCAGCUUACAUUGUAGCAAAAUUCUGUAUCCUCUUACAAAUGAGUUGAACUGCCUCAUUGCCUUAUUGGCUAUCUUGUAUUGUCCUGGAUAAAGGGUCUUCUGGAAGAUGAAAAACUGCAAUGAAAAGAAGUCCCAACAAUGUUUUAUGUCUUUCACCUCUGCCAGUUUAUGAAGCAAAAAACAGAUUAUUCAUACACGCACACACACACGGACAAUAACUGCAGGUUUGGGAUAGAAGAGAAGAGAUGGGACAGAGAAAGUUUGUUUAACUAGAUAUAGCUAAAUAGAAUUGAAAACUAAAGAGGUUAUAACCACUCAAAAGUAAGAAGUCUGGGGUUCUAUUGCCCUAUAGGGUGACUAUAGGAGUUGUCAGUGAACCAUGUGUUUUUCUAUUGAAAAACCUAGAAGAUAGGUUUUUGGGAUAUUUUUAACCAUAAAGAAGUGUUAAACGUUUGAAGAGAUAAAUAUAUUUACCCUGAUUUUUUAAAGAUUUAUUUUAUUUAUUUGAAAGACAGAGUUACAGAGAGGUCUUCCAUUCCACUGGUUCACUCCCCAGAUGGCUGCAAUGGCUGGAGCUGUGCCAAUCCGAAGCGGGGAGCCAGGCACUUCUUCCAGGUCUCCCACAUGAGUGCAGGGGCCCAAGGACUUGGGCCAUCUUCUACUGCUUUCCCAGGCCAUAGCAGAGAGCUGGAUCAGAAGAGGACCAUCCAGG